GACAGAGGGUGCAAACGUUGUUCGGAAUUACUGGGCGUAAAGCGCGUGUAGGCGGCGGCGUGUGUCGGGCGUGAAAUCCCAUGGCUCAACCAUGGAAGUGCACCCGAAACUGCGCAGCUAGAGUCCUGGAGAGGAAGGUGGAAUACUUGGUGUAGAGGUGAAAUUCGUAGAUAUCAAGUGGAACACCGGUGGCGAAGGCGGCCUUCUGGACAGUGACUGACGCUGAGACGCGAAAGCAUGGGGAGCGAACAGG
Molecule: unclassified non-coding RNA, 253 nt
Filed under: uncultured Myxococcales bacterium
Lineage: Bacteria; Pseudomonadati; Myxococcota; Myxococcia; Myxococcales
Description: contains 16S-23S intergenic spacer region
Rfam family: Bacterial small subunit ribosomal RNA
Source: RNAcentral